GGGGCCGUAGCUCAGUUGGGAGAGCGCGACAUUCGCAUUGUCGAGGUCACGGGUUCGAAUCCCGUCGGCUCCACCA
Molecule: transfer RNA, 76 nt
Filed under: Halorhodospira neutriphila
Lineage: Bacteria; Pseudomonadati; Pseudomonadota; Gammaproteobacteria; Chromatiales; Ectothiorhodospiraceae
Description: tRNA-Ala
Rfam family: tRNA
About the family: Transfer RNA (tRNA) molecules are approximately 80 nucleotides in length. Their secondary structure includes four short double-helical elements and three loops (D, anti-codon, and T loops). Further hydrogen bonds mediate the characteristic L-shaped molecular structure. tRNAs have two regions of fundamental functional importance: the anti-codon, which is responsible for specific mRNA codon recognition, and the 3' end, to which the tRNAs corresponding amino acid is attached (by aminoacyl-tRNA synthetases). tRNAs cope with the degeneracy of the genetic code in two manners: having more than one tRNA (with a specific anti-codon) for a particular amino acid; and 'wobble' base-pairing, i.e. permitting non-standard base-pairing at the 3rd anti-codon position.
Source: RNAcentral